AUUGAACGCUGGCGGAAUGCUUUACACAUGCAAGUCGAACGAUAUAGUGGCAGACGGGUGAGUAACGCGUGGGAACGUACCUUUCACUACGGAAUAGCUCCGAGAAAUUGGUGGUAAUACCGUAUACGCCCUCAGGGGGAAAGAUUUAUCGGUGAAAGAUCGGCCCGCGUUGGAUUAGCUAGUUGGUGAGGUAAUGGCUCACAAAGGCGACGAUCCAUAGCUGGUCUGAGAGGAUGAUCAGCCACACUGGGACUGAGACACGGCCCAGACUCCUACGGGAGGCAGCAGUGGGGAAUCUUGCACAAUGGGCGAAAGCCUGAUGCAGCCAUGCCGCGUGAAUGAUGAAGGCCUUAGUGUUGUAAAAUUCUUUCGUCAGGGAUGAUAAUGACCGUACCUGAAGAAGAAGCCCCGGCUAACUUCGUGCCAGCCGCCGCAGUAA
Molecule: ribosomal RNA, 439 nt
Filed under: uncultured bacterium
Lineage: Bacteria
Description: partial 16S ribosomal RNA
Rfam family: Bacterial small subunit ribosomal RNA
Source: RNAcentral